This 580-nucleotide long non-coding RNA is filed under the name Rhinopithecus bieti (black snub-nosed monkey). RNAcentral's name for it is "lncRNA (ENSRBIG00000046540.1)". The record is from RNAcentral. Lineage: Eukaryota; Metazoa; Chordata; Mammalia; Primates; Cercopithecidae.
CUUCUAUUUCUUAACUUUUGCUUUUUCUAGAUCCAGCGUAUAUGUAAAGCAAAGAUCAAGCCACGUCCAGAACCUCUAAAGAGUUUUUGGUGCUGCUUAUGUUUUGCUGUACUCCUCACUGCCCCUUCUCUCCUUAUCUCGGAUAUACCCACUAGGAUUCCACCAAAGAAGUUACAAAUGGCUUUCCAGGCCUCCUCAGGGGAGUUGGCUAUAGUUGGGAUUGCACUUGAUGUGGAUAUUAAAACCAUUCAAGGAAGAUACAGAUAUUUUGAAUUUCAACGCUUGCUCUGAAGAGAAUAUUGGUCUGAUGGGACUGAGAAACUCCCGUGUGAAUUGCCCGAGACUUCAUUGCCCCUGCAGUGGAAGCACACUACACAUUCUUGCUCUGGAAGCCAUUGCUUCACAAGGUGUCCAAGAAAAGGAUUUCAUUUAUGGGAAGAUACUUCUGAACUUGCUCAUUUAGCCAAGGGUGGACGCAUCAUGAAGAGUGUUACUUGAGAAGUAGAAUUAAUAAUGCCACAUAGGAGUUGAAAAUAAUGUGUACAGUCACUAGGCCAGAGUGGAGGUAAGAAAUUGUCAG